CCGACCUUAGCUCAGUUGGUAGAGCGGAGGACUGUAGUUGGGGGUAAACCUAUGAGAUAUCCUUAGGUUGCUGGUACGAACCCGGCAGGUCGGA
RNAcentral lists this transfer RNA (94 nucleotides) under Capsicum annuum. It matches the Rfam family "tRNA". Rfam says of the family: Transfer RNA (tRNA) molecules are approximately 80 nucleotides in length. Their secondary structure includes four short double-helical elements and three loops (D, anti-codon, and T loops). The record is from Rfam by way of RNAcentral. Lineage: Eukaryota; Viridiplantae; Streptophyta; Magnoliopsida; Solanales; Solanaceae.